This 2767-nucleotide ribosomal RNA is filed under the name Triticum dicoccoides. RNAcentral describes it as "bacterial LSU rRNA". The stretch from base 400 to 2134 matches the Rfam family "Eukaryotic large subunit ribosomal RNA", at positions 24 to 1888 of the family's 3401-position model. Lineage: Eukaryota; Viridiplantae; Streptophyta; Magnoliopsida; Poales; Poaceae. The record is from RNAcentral.
ACUCUUGGCAACAGAUAUCUUGGCUCUCGCAUCGAUGAAGAACAUAGCGAAAUGCGAUACCUGGUGUGAAUUGCAGAAUCCCGCGAACCAUCGAGUCUUUGAACGCAGGUUGCGCCCAAGGCAACACGGCCGAGGGCACGCCUGCCUGGGCAUCACACCAAAACACGCUCCCAACCACCCUCUUCGGGAGUCGGGAUGCGGCAUCUGGUCCCUUGUCUCGCAAGGGGCGGUGGACCGAAGAUCGGGCUGCCAGUGUACCGCACCGGAUACAGCGCAUGGUGGGCGUCCUCGCUUUAUCAACGCAGUGCAUCCGACGCGCAGCCGGCAUUGUGGCCUCAGAAUGACCUAGCAAAUGAAGCGCACGUCGCUUCGACCGCGACCCCAGGUCAGGCGGGACUACCCGCUGAGUUUAAGCAUAUAAAUAAGCGGAGGAGAAGAAACUUACAAGGAUUCCCCUAGUAACGGCGAGCGAACCGGCAGUAGCCCAGCUUGAGAAUCGGGCGGCUGUGCCGUCCGAAUUAUAGUCUGGAGAGGCGUCCUCAGCGACGGACCGGGCCCAAGUCCCCUGGAAAGGUGCGCCUGGGAGGGUGAGAGCCCCGUCCGGCCCGGACCCUGUCGCCCCACGAGGCGCCGUCAACGAGUCUUGUUGUUUGGGAAUGCAGCCCAAAUCAGGCGGUAGACUCCGUCCAAGGCUAAAUACAGGCGAGAGACCGAUAGCGAACAAGUACCACGAGGGAAGAUGAAAACGACUUUGAAAAGAGAGUCUAAGAGUGCUUGAAAUUGCCGGGAGGGAAGCGGAUGGGGGCCGGCGAUGCGCCCCGGCCGUAUGCGAAACGACUCUUGCUGGUCCGCCGCUCGGCUCGGGGUGUGGAUUGUUGUUGGCCGCGCCGGCGGCCAAAGCCCAGGAGGCCUUGGUGCCUCUGGUGGCCGUCGUCGGCACGGCCGGUACCCGCGCGCCGAAAGGCGUGUCCCUCGGGGCACUGCGCUGCAACGUCCUGCGGGCUCCCCAUCCGACCCGUCUUGAAACACGGAUCAAGGAGUCUGACAUGCGUGCGAGUCAACGGGUUCUGAAACCUAGGAUGCGCAAGGAAGCUGACGAGCGGGAGGCUCUAACGGCCCGCACCGCUGGCCGAGCCUGAUCUUCUGUGAAGGGUUCGAGUUGGAGCACGCCUGUCGGGACCCAAAAGAUGGUGCACUAUGCCUGAGCGGGGCGAAGCCAGAGGAAACUUUGGUGGAGGCUCGAAGCGAUACUGACGUGCAAAUCAUUCAUCUGACUAAUCGAACCAUCUAGUAGCUGGUUCCCUCCGAAGUUUCCCUCAGGAUAGAUGGAGCCCAUUACGAGUUCUAUCAGGUAAAGCCAAUGAUUAGAGGCAUUGGGGACGCAACGUCCUCGACCUAUUCUCAAACUUUAAAUAGGUAGGAUGGCGCGGCUGCUUCGGUGAGCCGUACCAUGGAAUCGGGUGCUCCAAGUGGGACAUUUUUGGUAAGCAGAACUGGCGAUGCGGGAUGAACCGGAAGCCGGGUUACGUUGCCAAACUGCAUGCUAACCUAGAACCCACAAAGGGUGUUGGUCGAUUAAGACAGCAGGACGGUGGUCAUGGAAGUCGAAAUCCGCUAAGGAGUGUGUAACAACUCACCUGCCGAAUCAACUGACCCGAAAAUGGAUGGCGCUGAAGCGCGCAACCCACACCCAGACAUCUAGGCGAGCGCCAUGCCUCAAUGAGUAGGAGAGCGCGGCGGCCGCUGCAAAACCCGGGGCACGAGCCCGGGCGGAGCGGCCGUCGGUGCAGAUCUUGGUGGUAGUAGCAAAUAUUCAAAUGAGAACUUUGAAGGCCGAAGAGGAGAAAGGUUCCAUGUGAACGGCACUUGCACAUGGGUAAGCCCAUCCUAAGGGACGGGGUCAUGGAGCCUGUGGCUUAAUUUGACUCAACACGGGGAAACUUACCAGGUCCAGACAUAGCAAGGAUUGACGGACUGAGAGCUCUUUCUUGAUUCUAUGGGUGGUGGUGCAUGGCCGUUCUUAGUUGGUGGAGCGAUUUGUCUGGUUAAUUCUGUUAAUGAACGAGACCUCAGCCUGCUAACUAGCUAUGUGGAGCCAUCGCUCCGCAGCUAGCUUCUUAGAGGGACUAUCGCCGUUUAGGCGACGAAAGUUUGAGGCAAUAACAGGUCUGUGAUGCCCUUAGAUGUUCUGGGCCGCACACGCGCUACACUGAUGUAUUCAACGAGUAUAUAGCGUUGGCCGGCAGGCCCGGGUAAUCUUGGCAAAUUUCAUCGUGAUGGGGAUAGAUCUUUGCAAUUGUUGGUCUUCAACGAGGAAUGCCUAGUAAGCGCGAGUCAUCAGCUCGCGUUGACUAUGUCCCUGCCCUUUGUACACACCGCCCGUCGCUCCUACUGAUUGAAUGGUCCGGUGAAGUCUUCGGAUCGCUGCGAUGGGGGCGGUUCGCUGCCCCCGACAUCGCGAGAAGUCCAUUGAAUCUUAUCAUUUAGAGGAAGGAGAAGUCGUAACAAGGUCUCCGUAGGUGAACCUGCGGAAGGAUCAUUGUCGUGACCUUGACCAAAAUAUACCACGCACGCGUCAUCCAAUCUGUCAGCGAUGGCACCGUCCGUCGCUCGGACAAUGCUUCGACCACCUCCCCUCCUUGGAGCGGGUGGGGGCUCGGGGUAAAAGAACCCACGACACCGAAGGCGUCAAGGAACACUGUGCCAAACCCAGGGGCAUGGCUAGCUUGCUAGCCGUCCCUCGUGUUGCAAAUCUAUUUAAUCCACA